RNAcentral lists this long non-coding RNA (1652 nucleotides) under Sus scrofa (pig). Its description in RNAcentral is "lncRNA (ENSSSCG00025037707.1)". The record is from RNAcentral. Lineage: Eukaryota; Metazoa; Chordata; Mammalia; Artiodactyla; Suidae.
GCGGCGCCAUUUUGCAGGCGGCUGUCGCGGGUACCGGAGGCGGCGGCGGGCACUGCGGAGCCGAGAGGCGGCGGCAGGACCGGAGCCCGGCGAGCUGUAGCCAGCUAGGUCUUGACUCCACUAACCAGGACUCCAUGCGGUUUUGAGGUUGGACUUCAGCAGCACAAGGAAAUGUAGCUGGGCAGCUUGUAGUGGAAAGCGGAUGGACAGGUCUGCAUCACACCAUUUAGGUGCGUCUGAAACAUGAUCUUUGUUCUGCAUUUUGUGCUGAUGGUCCUUAAGUGGCAGACCUCAUUCGUACUUGACUUUGCCCUUUGCAGAUUUCAGCAAAGGUCUGAAGGCAAUACUGGGAAUACUUGUUAGGUUAAUGCUAAUGAUAAGGUAAUGAAUUUCUUCAAGGCCAAAUUUCACAUAAGUAGAUUAAACUAGAAAACUAACAGGUACGGUCUUGCCACUUAUACUAAUUACAAGGUAGGAGGUGAAUAUUUUCAUUUUCCUUUAUGUGCUUUUGCAUUUUUUAUCCACGAGCAUUUGAGUACCUAUUUCUGUUGGGGUUCUUGGUCAGGGUCACAUAUGUGAAGCCUGGGGGUAAAGAUGUGGAAGACCUGUUCCUUCAAUUUCAUCAAUUUAAGUAUUGAGACUAAGCACAAAUAGUUAAGUAUUGAGACUAAGCACAAAUAUGUUACUAAGGAACAUUCCUUUUUUUUUUUUUUUUUUAAACUUUUUUUUCUACCAUCUCCUGCAUCCCAAAGCUUGAUGGGUAUUUUGGUUAUUUAAAACUUUUUGCUGUUACAAAUAAUAUAGCAGUGAAAUUUCUUGUACAUACUUUGGAGAGAAUACCCCAUAAGUAAAAUUUCUAGCAAUUAAAUUGUUUGGCAUAGUGCAUAAGAUUUUCCAGUUUUUAAAUUUUGAUAGAUACUGGCAAAUUGAGAAUUUAGAAGCUGCAAGAACUUAAACUCUUGGAGUCCCCACUGUGGUGCAGCGGAAGUGAAUCUGACUAGUAACCAUGAAGUUGAAGGUUCCAUCCGUGGACUUGCUCAGGGGGCUAAGGAUUAGGCGCUGCCAUGAGCUGUGGCAUAGGUCGAAGAUAAAGCUCAGAUCCUGCGUUGCUGUGGCAUAGGCUGGUGGCUAUAGCUCCAAUUCAACCCCUAGCCUGGGAACUGCCACGUGCCAAGGGUGUGGCCCUAAAAAGCAAAAGCAAAAAAAAAAAAAAAAAAAAAUUAGAAAAAGAAUUUAUACUCUUACAGAUAAAACAUUCUCUCACCUUUUUAGUCAAAACUAAAUUUAUUCGGUAUGGUGGAUGUAAAAUUAUGGUAUUUUUAUUUAUUUACUUUUAUAAGUAAAUUCACUAGGUGUACAGUUAUAAGAACUUUCAAAAAUGUCGAGGGGAUUGAUCAUUUUAAAACAUUUUUCAUUUUCUAAUAUAAGUCUGUGCUUGCUAUUUAAAAAUUAAAUAAGACUUGGGAAAGAACAAAAAUUAGGAAGAAGAAAAUCUCCUUGCUCCUCUACUUAAUGACACCAUUGUGAACAUUUUUGUGUAUGGCUUUCAUUUUUUUAGUUUUCUUUGUGUAGUUUUUUCCCUUAAGCCAUCAUCAUUAAAUUGUAUGUGUUUUGUCAUUGUUGUUGUUGUUAAUGGCCAGACCUGCAGCCUG